This 445-nucleotide ribosomal RNA is filed under the name uncultured bacterium. RNAcentral describes it as "bacterial SSU rRNA". It matches the Rfam family "Bacterial small subunit ribosomal RNA", at positions 354 to 796 of the family's 1533-position model. The record is from RNAcentral.
GUGAGGAAUAUUGGUCAAUGGGCGGAAGCCUGAACCAGCCAAGUAGCGUGAAGGAUGACUGCCCUAUGGGUUGUAAACUUCUUUUAUAAGGGAAUAAAUGUGGGUACGCGUACCCGUUUGCAUGUACCUUAUGAAUAAGGAUCGGCUAACUCCGUGCCAGCAGCCGCGGUAAUACGGAGGAUCCGAGCGUUAUCCGGAUUUAUUGGGUUUAAAGGGAGCGUAGGCGGGCGCUUAAGUCAGCUGUGAAAGUUUGGGGCUCAACCUUAAAAUUGCAGUUGAUACUGGGUGCCUUGAGUGCAGUAUAGGCAGGCGGAAUUCGUGGUGUAGCGGUGAAAUGCUUAGAUAUCACGAAGAACUCCUAUUGCGAAGGCAGCUUGCUGGAGUGUAACUGACGCUGAUGCUCGAAAGUGUGGGUAUCAAACAGGAUUAGAAACCCUAGUAGUCC